AAGCGUCUCACGGGGAGCCUCAUACGAGGCUGAGAGGUGGCCAGGCCACCGACCCGUCGAACCUGAUCCGGGUCAUGCCGGCGGAGGGAAUGAGCAUGCGACAUCGC
Microvirga aerilata is the source of this 107-nucleotide non-coding RNA. The record is from Rfam. Lineage: Bacteria; Pseudomonadati; Pseudomonadota; Alphaproteobacteria; Hyphomicrobiales; Methylobacteriaceae.